RNAcentral lists this long non-coding RNA (1764 nucleotides) under Mytilus galloprovincialis (Mediterranean mussel). The record is from RNAcentral. Lineage: Eukaryota; Metazoa; Mollusca; Bivalvia; Mytilida; Mytilidae.
AGAUAAUGCUAUUAUAGGUGUUUCAGAUCAGAUUGUUCAAUGGUUAUUUUGUAUGUUGUUAGAAAAAUGAAUAUGUGACAGUUAAAACAGAAUGACUCAGACUCAGGCAAGUUUUCACUGACAAAACUGUUAUUCCUCUAUUUAUUUUAAAUAAUGAUAACAUGGAGAAAGUAUUCAAUGCAGCUUAUAUGCUCAGUAUACAGCAAAUGUAAAUGAAUUAGUCUGACUGAUUGUCUGAGUCUGAAAAAUAUCGUUUAAUCCUCUAAAGGACUGAAACUAGAAAGUGACCUCAGUUCAUCUGUUUUGUUCACUUAUAAAUGCAAACAAACUAAACUGCUAUUCUUUCUUCUUUACCUUUUUGUAAAAUGAAUUUUUCUUACAGUGAGGAAAUAGGCACUUACUUUUUUAAAGGACGGCACGAAUAAUUCAAGGUCAGAAAAUGUAGCAUGUUUUGUAAUGAGCUGAUGAUUAUGUCAAGACAGAAGACAUUGCACAAAUAAUUGCUGCCAAAAUAAUGAACUUAUCAAUGGUAAUGAAGAAGAUUCAAGAAUGUAUCUUUAUUUGGUUAUAAAUAUUUGUAUGCCACAAUUUUCUAAUUUCUAAUUCUUAAAAAACAAAAAUUUCAAUGUAUUUGAUCAGGUUUCAAAAGUUCUUAAAAAAAAUAGCGUAAAGGUUGUAUUCAAAAUCUCAAUUUCUUAGAAAAUAAAUCUGGAGUCAGAAUAAAUAUUUUAAAUGUACAAUUUAAGGAAAUUAGAUACCAGACAGCGACCCAACACAAAAACCCAGAAGAGGGCACCUGGAUGUUUAAAGAACAGAUUUGCAAGAGUUUACCUUCAUUGGUGUUUACAAGACUGACUUACAAGAGUUAUUUUCCCAGAGAAGAAUAGUCCUGAUUAACAACAAUUAUCUCCCCUAUCAUGUGUCAAAAUUGUAUAUAAAGCACAUAUCUUUUACUGGAGUUAUUGAACAAGCAACAAUCAAUCCAAAUCUAGACCUUUGUGUUAAACAUUUUCUAAUGGAUAUUUUUUUUAUAAGAUGUGCCAAAAAAGAUUUAUAUAAGUUUGCUCCAUGUGUAAUCUGGUUAUAAAUAUAUUUUUGUCUAUCCUUAGUUACACCUACACUAUAUUAAUUUCCUAUGAUUUGUGUUCUAAAUAAAACACAUAAUAUUGACAAUUAUACACAUACAUAUAAUUAUUUGUUUUUUUCUGAACACAUGGUAUUCUCUUAAUUUUGAUACAGUAUCAUAAACUAUGGAUUACAAGUUUUGGUAUUGAUAACUUUGAUUAAUUGAUACAUUUUCUUCACACAACAUAUUUGUGGAUCUGUAUUUGUAUUGUUCAAGUAGCAAAGAAAAAGAAUUGACAUAAUUGAAAAGAAUGUAACAAUCUAUACAUGCAUUUCUAGUGCAAUAACAACUUAUUGUGAUUUCUAUUCGAAGCAGACUAAAUCUAUUCAUCACAGUCAGGUUUUGGCAAGAUAGUAUUUAUUGUGGUAAGUAGUCAGAUCUACAAAUCUAUCUAAAUACCACAUUAUACUAGUAAAUAGCUGGACCAACAAGUCUUUAAAAUUACCAACAUAUAUUGGUAGGUUGUCAGAACUACACAGUUUAUUAAAGAACAUAUAUUUAUAUGUCAUGUAUGUAAUUAGAUUUACAGGUUUGUCGAAAUUAAAAAAAAAAUACUUGUAAACCAGGUGCUCCGCAGGGCGCAGCUUUAUACGACCGCAGAGGUCGAACCCUGAACAGUUGGGGCAAGUAUGGAAAAA